This 74-nucleotide small nucleolar RNA is filed under the name Hucho hucho (huchen). Lineage: Eukaryota; Metazoa; Chordata; Actinopteri; Salmoniformes; Salmonidae. The record is from RNAcentral.
CUUCAGUGAUGAUACGAUGAUGAGUCGGAAUGGGACGCAGUCUGUCUGGGUUCAGUUCCUCAGAGCAGUGAGGG